RNAcentral lists this ribosomal RNA (1153 nucleotides) under Vibrio fluvialis. RNAcentral describes it as "partial 23S ribosomal RNA". It matches the Rfam family "Bacterial large subunit ribosomal RNA", at positions 1778 to 2925 of the family's 2925-position model. The record is from RNAcentral. Lineage: Bacteria; Pseudomonadati; Pseudomonadota; Gammaproteobacteria; Vibrionales; Vibrionaceae.
CGCAGAUACCAGGUGGCUGCAACUGUUUAUUAAAAACACAGCACUGUGCAAAAUCGUAAGAUGACGUAUACGGUGUGACGCCUGCCCGGUGCCGGAAGGUUAAUUGAUGGGGUUAGCGUAAGCGAAGCUCUUGAUCGAAGCCCCGGUAAACGGCGGCCGUAACUAUAACGGUCCUAAGGUAGCGAAAUUCCUUGUCGGGUAAGUUCCGACCUGCACGAAUGGCGUAAUGAUGGCCACGCUGUCUCCACCCGAGACUCAGUGAAAUUGAAAUCGCUGUGAAGAUGCAGUGUACCCGCGGCUAGACGGAAAGACCCCGUGAACCUUUACUACAGCUUGGCACUGAACAUUGAACCUACAUGUGUAGGAUAGGUGGGAGGCUUUGAAGACGUGACGCUAGUUGCGUUGGAGCCGUCCUUGAAAUACCACCCUUGUAUGUUUGAUGUUCUAACUUAGCCCCGUUAUCCGGGGUGAGGACAGUGCCUGGUGGGUAGUUUGACUGGGGCGGUCUCCUCCCAAAGAGUAACGGAGGAGCACGAAGGUGGGCUAAUCACGGUUGGACAUCGUGAGGUUAGUGCAAUGGCAUAAGCCCGCUUAACUGCGAGAAUGACGGUUCGAGCAGGUGCGAAAGCAGGUCAUAGUGAUCCGGUGGUUCUGUAUGGAAGGGCCAUCGCUCAACGGAUAAAAGGUACUCCGGGGAUAACAGGCUGAUACCGCCCAAGAGUUCAUAUCGACGGCGGUGUUUGGCACCUCGAUGUCGGCUCAUCACAUCCUGGGGCUGAAGUCGGUCCCAAGGGUAUGGCUGUUCGCCAUUUAAAGUGGUACGCGAGCUGGGUUUAGAACGUCGUGAGACAGUUCGGUCCCUAUCUGCCGUGGGCGUUGGAAGAUUGAAGGGGGCUGCUCCUAGUACGAGAGGACCGGAGUGGACGAACCUCUGGUGUUCGGGUUGUGUCGCCAGACGCAUUGCCCGGUAGCUAAGUUCGGAAUCGAUAACCGCUGAAAGCAUCUAAGCGGGAAGCGAGCCCUGAGAUGAGUCUUCCCUGAUACUUUAAGUAUCCUAAAGGGUUGUUCGAGACUAGAACGUUGAUAGGCAGGGUGUGUAAGCGUUGUGAGGCGUUGAGCUAACCUGUACUAAUUGCCCGUGAGGCUUAACCAU